UACGUAGGGCGCAAGCGUUAUCCGGAAUUAUUGGGCGUAAAGAGCUCGUAGGCGGUUUGUCGCGUCUGCCGUGAAAGUCCGGGGCUCAACUCCGGAUCUGCAGUGGGUACGGGCAGACUAGAGUGUGGUAGGGGAGACUGGAAUUCCUGGUGUAGCGGUGGAAUGCGCAGAUAUCAGGAAGAACACCCGUGGCGAAGGCGGCUCUCUGGAACGCAACUGACGCUGAGACGCGAAAGCGUGGGGAGCAAACAGG
Molecule: ribosomal RNA, 253 nt
Filed under: uncultured bacterium
Lineage: Bacteria
Description: partial 16S ribosomal RNA
Rfam family: Bacterial small subunit ribosomal RNA
Source: RNAcentral